RNAcentral lists this long non-coding RNA (439 nucleotides) under Lathyrus oleraceus (garden pea). RNAcentral describes it as "Pisum sativum (pea) long non-coding RNA (PSAT_LNC001515)". The record is from RNAcentral. Lineage: Eukaryota; Viridiplantae; Streptophyta; Magnoliopsida; Fabales; Fabaceae.
UAAUUUUCUAAAUUAAAUUACUAUCUAAGAAUUUUUAAUAAAUAUUUUUCUUUAAAUAAUAGGUAAUAAGAAUUAUUAAUAAAAAAGAAAAAGGAAAAUAAAGACACUUCACGUUUCCUCUUUCCCUCACGCUUCCUCUCUCCCCCACGCUUCCUCUCUCUCACACGCUACCCUCAUUAGAUUCCCAUCACCCAACUACAUUUCCAUCACCACCUACCCACUCCAACGUCUCUCUCUGACCAAAAAGCAAAAAGGAAAUUAAAAAACAAGAAAAAGACAACUCACAUAAUAAUUCUCGUUUCUUCCAACGGAUAUGACAAAAUAAAAAUACAAAAGGCACACCAAGGUGACAGACACCCAAAAAAAUGACUCUCUCUGUUGGCAAAUAAAAGAAAGAGACAAAAGAAAAAGUCUCUCUCUCUCUCUCUCUCUCUCUCUC